AGAAACUAACCAAAUGGCAUUAUGGUGAAUAAAGCUUGGUUGGAGGAUAAAAUGGAAUUUAGUAUUGCUUGCAUGGACAUAAGGGCUUGUUUGGCUUAGAAUAUCAGAAUUGGAAAGAAGAGGAGAGAGCUUAGAAGCAUGGGAGAGAAGAGGAAGACUCAUGUUCAUCAUCUUUAUCCUCCAUUUUCGCACCUAUGAGACAGCCUCCACCGAAAAGGUAAUAACUCUUCACUCGUAACUCCGAUUGAGCUGAUUCUGGUCCCGUUGGAAAGCUUACAAAUUUCUCUACAAUUUGCAUAUAUGGGUCGCCUCUUGCAUGUUCUUUAUCAUGGAGAAAAACGCGUUUGAAGUAGAGGGUUUGAUGCUGAUUUUUAGGGAAGACAUGCAUGCGGGUUUGACCACAUUGGAGGUAGAGUUUUGAUCAAAGAAGAACCUUGAGAGCACCAUUGCCAUCCUUUUGACCUCUACAACUCAGAAUCUUCAUGGGAUAAGGAACAGGUUAGAAGUAAACUGAUUGCUUGGAGGACUGCUUUGAAGACUAUGGACAAGCAAAUGGCAGGAAGACCUCGUCAGAUGUUAUCUUUCCGCUGUGUAUUAUUGAAGACAAGUUGAUUAUAUACAUUUAUUAGGGAAACUUGAAUUGUAUAUGAUUUUUUUUCUUGUCUUUACCGCUUAUGUAUGUUUCUUGUACCAUUUAUAGCAUCACUACAUAUUAUUCUAGACAUAUAUGUAUGGGGUGUUACAGUUGGUAUCAGAGCAGGUCGAUCCUUGUCCCUGCCAUGAGACAUCAAUAGCAAUUCUUUUCUCCCUCACACGUAUGUGUUGCUAGCCCGAUUUUUACUAUCGUAGUAUUCAUUCGUUGAGCCUGGCCAGCUCACUGACUGUAUAUGCGAUAGAUAAGAUCGUGGUAAAGCCACUACGAGGAUGUGUAAGAUCUGAACGGCUCGAGCUGAAGUAGUAGAAGCCAGUUGAGUAGAAGGGAUGUUGAGAUUAGUUUCCUUAAGAGGAGUGUUGGUCGAGGAAAUUAGGGACAACUCAACUGUCGUAGAAAUGUUUGAAGCAAUUGGAAGUUCCAAGAUUCUAAUUGGACGGGGUGAACCUUCUCUAGAUCCUUGAAGUAGUGGAGGAAUUUCAUGAGACACCUGGGUAAGAAUGGGGCAAGGUAAUUCUGCGAGAGGUCCCAGCUUGUGGCAGUUAAGGGAAUUUUGCUCGAUCAUGGUGUCAGUAGCAUACGUGGAAGGAGAAACGGUUGAAUGGAAGACUUAAGGGAGUUUGGACAGAGAUAUUAGAUCUUUAGUCAAUCUGGUUUGGGAAGUAUUUCUAUAGAUAAGGAGCUACACUGCAACUCGUUCUGAUGUACCCCAAGUAGUAGGUAGUUGAUUGAACAAGUUGAAGUGGUGACCUCCAAUUGGGCAAAUUUCCUAGAUGUCUGUUCUGGUGGAAGGAGCUACUACAUCUUCAUGCUCAUUCUGAAAUGCGUGAGUCCUAGAACUAAGCUAGGAGGCAUCUGAAUGAAUGAAAAUGCAGAGUGCAGUGAUCCAUGUUUCCUACUAGUUGUGAUUCAUCUAACCAGCGUGAAGCCGUAGAACUACGCUAGGUGUUGGGUACUUAUGUGGAUUGAACUAGUGGUUAUCUGCAACGUCGGCGGCCUGAUCUCAUUUUUGUGAUUGUCGUUGUAGCCAUGGUAUUUUGGUAUGGUGGAUGUUAUCCUUGGGGAUUCUCUCGUGUGUGUCCUGUGUAACUGAGUACACACCUGGUAUAUGAACUGAACCGAAUUCUUAUCAAGUCAGGUCUAGCUUGUUGCGUUUAGAGGAAGUUAACAGCGGACGUGCAACACUCUUAGGUUUGAGCAUCCUAAGGAGUGUGACUGGAAGGUCUUGAGGAGCAAUGACCCUAGUGGGACGCUUGUCCAGUUAUUUUUGAUCGUGGCGAUAGGAUACGAGUGGAGAUCGUUAUACGCUACUGGGUAAGUUACUUGAAAGCAUGGCCUCGGAGUUGGACCACCAUGUUAGUACUAUUAGGUAGGUAUGACGCCACAGUAUCGUUGUCGUACACGAGAUGUGUGAGUAAUCUUUUCCAACGGAGGUGAGACAGGGCUGAUCUGAAACUCGUGGUAGGAUCCUGAUUUGGUACUCAUGAGACACGAACCCGAAAUUCUCAUAAGGUAGGUGGGAUGAGGAUCCAUAUGUCGCGCUCGAUGAUUGAGAAUCAUGCGAGUGGGUGACGAUGAGAUGGAUUAGAUUCUAAUGUUACACUUAUGAGAAUACCUUGGGUGAUCGUGGUCGCAUGAGAAUUUUAGGCUUCUACAUUGUGGAUGUUUCUUAAUCUGUCAGAUUGGCGAACCUUUGUGUGUGAGUGUCCGAGGCAAGAGAUAUGUGUGAACAGUAUAUCCUGGACAGCACAAUGUGUGACUAAUCUCUAACCUUGGUAAACACUGCCGGAGUGGAUGAAGUGUAUCUUGGAUUAGCUCGAUGUGGGAUAUACCUAGAGGAGUAUGGGUAGAUCCUCAGUAACAUAGACAAUGUCGAACUUGGAAAAGUAAAGGCACAUCGGCUUUGGGAGUGUCGUGGAAUGUCAAAGGGGGAUGUCUGAGGCACGGAAUAUGAUCUCUUGUUUUGUAACUAAACUUUUGUAGUUAGACAUGUUGCAUUGGGAUAACGCAACCGAAGAAGUAAGCUUUGUGUCAGCUCCAGAGACGAAGAGGCAUUAGACGACUACAUGAUUGAAGUGCGACCGAGAGAGGAUUAUUACAUCAGUCAAGUCAGGUGAGUUAUUAGAAGUAUUGUCACACCAACGGUAUGAAGUCAUAUGGUUAGGAAGAGAUAUCGCAACAGUUGUAGGGUGUGGUUGUCAGUAAGAUCAGGCAAACUCGUACUCGGAGAAAGCAUUUGGCUUUGGGAGUUCUUAAACCGAAGUAUGUGGACCAAGUUGUGUUCAAGUAGACCUAAUCCAGAAUAAUGGAAAAGUUAGUGUCUUAAUUUUGGGAAUUAUUCAACCUCGAGGAGUAGUGGAUGAUGAGUGUGUUUAAGGUUUUGGCACGUGUUGUAUUUGGACGAAUGUUGAGAAGGAAUUGUUGCUAAUAAAGGACUAAGUGUGGUGUAGUAAUGGAACUAAGUGAACCAUGAACGAAGUGUAAUUCAGAGGAUUCCAAUGAGCGUGUGACCGAUAGAGAUCAGAGUAGCGCAACGGAUAGGCAGAAUCAGAUAAGUAUGUAGUGGGUAUGGACAAACUACUUGUAGGAUUUUGUGUUGAAAUAUAGAUAUCUUCCUAAGAGAACUCACUAGAGAAAUGCUUUGUUUGUUUCUAUCUCUCCGUGAUCCACCAUAAUCUUAAGAAGUAAUGUUGAUGGACCGGCUUAGAGGAGGCUUCAUGAUUAUGGUGUGAUCGGAUGUUUCCUUGGACGAUGGUCGUUGUUAACUGUGAGAGUUCAUUCCUUUGUCUGGAGGACUUUGUGUGAAUUUAUUGGAUACCAAGGCUAUCGUGGCAGAAUUUUACAUCUACAAGUAGUAGUGGCAAAUAUUUUGUCUAAGGGAGAAACAAGGAUUGAAGUAAGAGUUUUGCUGUACGAAGACGUUAGGCUUCGAAAUCAAGACCAAGGGCAAGAGUAGGAAAUCAGUGGAAGAUGUUAAGCAAGGUUGAACUUGGUAAAUAUUGAGGACAAGGAAAAUCCAACCAGAUGAAUUACCAAGAAUUUUGAAGCUACGCAGACUCAGUACAAAGAAGUAAAGUUGUGAACCUUGGAAGGGUCAUUCCAAAGUAUGUUGUUGUGGAGCAUCAUAAGGUAUGUGUUGUGUGUGGACUAGUGUCCCAAUUAAGAAUAUUUGGACACAGGUGUAUAUAUAUGAGUUACAUUUCUUGGAUGGAACGACUUUCAAUGGAUGUGGUGAGGUCUAUCCAAAGGAGAAGAUGUGAAGGUGUUUGUUGACAUGGUGAUCGGAAGGAAUUCGAGGGCGAAUUCUAUUUAAGGGGGGGAGAAUGUAAUACCCCGAUUCUUUGACACUGGUAAUUAUCAUUUAAUUGGCUAAUUGGUGAUUAGAGUGCACAUUUAGUAUUUUUUCAUAUUAAUCUAAGAAUGGUUAUAAGUGAGUUGGUAGAGUAGUUGGAAAUAAAAGAGAUUGGUUAAGACCAAAUAAGAGUGGUUAGAAACUAACCAAAUGGCAUUAUGGUGAAUAAAGCUUGGUUGGAGGAUAAAAUGGAAUUUAGUAUUGCUUGCAUGGACAUAAGGGCUUGUUUGGCUUAGAAUAUCAGAAUUGGAAAGAAGAGGAGAGAGCUUAGAAGCAUGGGAGAGAAGAGGAAGACUCAUGUUCAUCAUCUUUAUCCUCCAUUUUCGCACCUAUGAGACAGCCUCCACCGAAAAGGUAAUAACUCUUCACUCGUAACUCCGAUUGAGCUGAUUCUGGUCCCGUUGGAAAGCUUACAAAUUUCUCUACAAUUUGCAUAUAUGGGUCGCCUCUUGCAUGUUCUUUAUCAUGGAGAAAAACGCGUUUGAAGUAGAGGGUUUGAUGCUGAUUUUUAGGGAAGACAUGCAUGCGGGUUUGACCACAUUGGAGGUAGAGUUUUGAUCAAAGAAGAACCUUGAGAGCACCAUUGCCAUCCUUUUGACCUCUACAACUCAGAAUCUUCAUGGGAUAAGGAACAGGUUAGAAGUAAACUGAUUGCUUGGAGGACUGCUUUGAAGACUAUGGACAAGCAAAUGGCAGGAAGACCUCGUCAGAUGUUAUCUUUCCGCUGUGUAUUAUUGAAGACAAGUUGAUUAUAUACAUUUAUUAGGGAAACUUGAAUUGUAUAUGAUUUUUUUUUCUUGUCUUUACCGCUUAUGUAUGUUUCUUGUACCAUUUAUAGCAUCACUACAUAUUAUUCUAGACAUAUAUGUAUGGGGUGUUACAAAAAAAUAAGCGAAUUUUUUUUAUUUUAU
Vicia villosa (hairy vetch) is the source of this 4915-nucleotide long non-coding RNA. RefSeq lists it as uncharacterized. Lineage: Eukaryota; Viridiplantae; Streptophyta; Magnoliopsida; Fabales; Fabaceae. The transcript is spliced from 3 exons. The record is from RefSeq and is a predicted model, not a curated record.